UUCAUCUCCUCUGGUUCUUCCGUCCUCUUCUACAUGCAGCAUGGCAGCAGGAAAGAACUCACGAUGCUCCACUCAGCAGUUUCUUCAAAUGUUACCCAUUGGAAACGAAAAGCUAUCCAGUUUUUCUGCAGCAAGCCUGACCGUAAGCUCUAUGGAUUCCAGCUGGCAAUGGUGCCUGGGUGACUUGCAUGAAGGCUAAGGAGCAGAAAAGGAAUCUGAUUUGAAGAUGGCUUCCACAGAAAAAGCUUCAUGCCUAUCGGACAAAGAUCUGAGGUUGCUGUGUUUCACACGCUCCUGAGGUGGAAGCUCUUGGUUGGCUAUGACCUCGCUGAGUUUGAGACCUGGGUUAUGCACAAGUCAACAAAUAGUGAAAGUUACCACUUGAUUCUGCUGGUGAUGGACUUUUAUUUUAAUGGUUUAUGCACGAGUCAACAAAUAGUGAAAGUUACCACAUGAUUCUGCUGGUGAUGGACUUUUAUUUGAAUGGUUUAUGCACGAGUCAACAAAUAGUGAAAGUUACCACAUGAUUCUGCUGAUGAUUGAAAGCUGGUGAUGGACUUUUAUUUGAAUGGUUUAUGCACGAGUCAACAAAUGGUGAAAGUUACCACAUGAUUCUGCUGGUGAUGGACUUUUAUUUGAAUGGUUCCUUUUUGUCUUCACUGGCCAGAAAACAGCUGCCCUCAAGCAAGAUGAAUAUACCUGAAUGAUGAAACUACAACUUUUUGUUUAAUGAAGGACAAUAUAAUGGUGUCUGGUAACUGUUUUGACAAAUAAACUCUAUAAAAUAA
Molecule: long non-coding RNA, 788 nt
Organism: Gymnodraco acuticeps
Lineage: Eukaryota; Metazoa; Chordata; Actinopteri; Perciformes; Bathydraconidae
Exons: 7
Source: RefSeq, a predicted model, not a curated record